CCUACGGGAGGCUGCAGUAGGGAAUAUUGCUCAAUGGGGGAAACCCUGAAGCAGCAACGCCGCGUGGAGGAUGAAGGUUUUCGGAUUGUAAACUCCUUUUGUUAGAGAAGAUAAUGACGGUAUCUAACGAAUAAGCACCGGCUAACUCCGUGCCAGCAGCCGCGGUAAUACGGAGGGUGCAAGCGUUACUCGGAAUCACUGGGCGGAAAGAGCGCGUAGGCGGGAUAGCAAGUCAGAUGUGAAAUCCUAUGGCUUAACCAUAGAACUGCAGUUGAAACUGUUAUUCUAGAGUAUGGGAGAGGUAGGUGGAAUUCUUGGUGUAGGGGUAAAAUCCGUAGAGAUCAAGAGGAAUACUCAUUGCGAAGGCGACCUGCUAGAACAUAACUGACGCUGAUGCGCGAAAGCGUGGGGAGCAAACAGGAUUAGAUACCCUUGUAGUC
This 440-nucleotide ribosomal RNA is filed under the name uncultured bacterium. Its description in RNAcentral is "partial 16S ribosomal RNA". It matches the Rfam family "Bacterial small subunit ribosomal RNA", at positions 338 to 795 of the family's 1533-position model. The record is from RNAcentral.